Molecule: ribosomal RNA, 689 nt
Filed under: uncultured Lachnospiraceae bacterium
Lineage: Bacteria; Bacillati; Bacillota; Clostridia; Lachnospirales; Lachnospiraceae
Description: bacterial SSU rRNA
Rfam family: Bacterial small subunit ribosomal RNA
Source: RNAcentral
GCAAGUCGAACGAGAGAGAAGGAGCUUGCUUCUUCGAUCGAGUGGCGAACGGGUGAGUAACGCGUGAGGAACCUGCCUCAAAGAGGGGGACAACAGUUGGAAACGACUGCUAAUACCGCAUAAGCCCACGGGUCGGCAUCGACCUGAGGGAAAAGGAGCAAUCCGCUUUGAGAUGGCCUCGCGUCCGAUUAGCUAGUUGGUGAGGUAAUGGCCCACCAAGGCGACGAUCGGUAGCCGGACUGAGAGGUUGAACGGCCACAUUGGGACUGAGACACGGCCCAGACUCCUACGGGAGGCAGCAGUGGGGAAUAUUGCACAAUGGGGGAAACCCUGAUGCAGCGACGCCGCGUGGAGGAAGAAGGUCUUCGGAUUGUAAACUCCUGUUGUUGAGGAAGAUAAUGACGGUACUCAACAAGGAAGUGACGGCUAACUACGUGCCAGCAGCCGCGGUAAAACGUAGGUCACAAGCGUUGUCCGGAAUUACUGGGUGUAAAGGGAGCGCAGGCGGGAAGACAAGUUGGAAGUGAAAUCUAUGGGCUCAACCCAUAAACUGCUUUCAAAACUGUUUUUCUUGAGUAGUGCAGAGGUAGGCGGAAUUCCCGGUGUAGCGGUGGAAUGCGUAGAUAUCGGGAGGAACACCAGUGCGAAGCGGCUACUGGGCACCAACUGACGUGAGGCUCGAAAGUGUG